GUAGAACGCUGAAGAGAGGAGCUUGCUCUUCUUGGAUGAGUUGCGAACGGGUGAGUAACGCGUAGGUAACCUGCCUGGUAGCGGGGGAUAACUAUUGGAAACGAUAGCUAAUACCGCAUAAAAUUGAUUAUUGCAUGAUAAUUAAUUGAAAGAUGCAAUUGCAUCACUACCAGAUGGACCUGCGUUGUAUUAGCUAGUUGGUGAGGUAACGGCUCACCAAGGCGACGAUACAUAGCCGACCUGAGAGGGUGAUCGACCACACUGGGACUGAGACACGGCCCAGACUCCUACGGGAGGCAGCAGUAGGGAAUCUUCGGCAAUGGGGGGAACCCUGACCGAGCAACGCCGCGUGAGUGAAGAAGGUUUUCGGAUCGUAAAGCUCUGUUGUAAGAGAAGAACGGGUGUGAGAGUGGAAAGUUCACACUGUGACGGUAUCUUACCAGAAAGGGACGGCUAACUACGUGCCAGCAGCCGCGGUAAUACGUAGGUCCCGAGCGUUGUCCGGAUUUAUUGGGCGUAAAGCGAGCGCAGGCGGUUAGAUAAGUCUGAAGUUAAAGGCUGUGGCUUAACCAUAGUAUGCUUUGGAAACUGUUUAACUUGAGUGCAGAAGGGGAGAGUGGAAUUCCAUGUGUAGCGGUGAAAUGCGUAGAUAUAUGGAGGAACACCGGUGGCGAAAGCGGCUCUCUGGUCUGUAACUGACGCUGAGGCUCGAAAGCGUGGGGAGCAA
This 727-nucleotide ribosomal RNA is filed under the name uncultured Streptococcaceae bacterium. RNAcentral describes it as "bacterial SSU rRNA". It matches the Rfam family "Bacterial small subunit ribosomal RNA", at positions 61 to 771 of the family's 1533-position model. Lineage: Bacteria; Bacillati; Bacillota; Bacilli; Lactobacillales; Streptococcaceae. The record is from RNAcentral.